Manduca sexta (tobacco hornworm) is the source of this 1369-nucleotide long non-coding RNA. RefSeq lists it as uncharacterized. The record is from RefSeq and is a predicted model, not a curated record. Lineage: Eukaryota; Metazoa; Arthropoda; Insecta; Lepidoptera; Sphingidae. The transcript is spliced from 2 exons.
AUAGAAAUAAUGUUGUUUAUUUCUCUAAAUAUAGAAGGACACGGACGCGGGAUAUAAAUAGAUACAAAACAAAUAUUAUUAACAAUGGAUGCUAUUAUGGAAAAAUCAUUAUGGUGAGAUGGUAAGUCAAACUGGGAAAAAUUAAGGGACUUUUUGAUGAGUAUGGCAACACCGCCAUACCCAUCGGCUCUAUCUUCCCUGAGACAGGAAUAACCAGGAAUUUUAAAACAAAAUUCCGGUUUUAACCACGUCUCACAUAGAGCUAUAACACAAGGGUUAAAUUUGUUAAUAAGAUAAAUUAAAUCAGAUUUGUUCUUCACUACGCUUCUGCAGUUCCAUUGUAGUACUUUGCCUAAGUGAGCCAUUGUUAAAUAUGUCAGUUAUUAUUUUCAAUAAAGGGGCAACGUUGGACGGUAAAAUUGUUUGUGACAGUGAUGAAACUAAAGCUAUAAUAAUAUCAGCCACCGAUUGUGGUUCUGGCAGGGUACCAGUUUUAGGAAGUGCACACCCAUCAGCAUAAGUGGGAGAGUUGAAAUCACCCACAAGAGCUUGGUGGGCUGCACGAUCAUAACCUUGUAUCGAUUUAGGCGGAGAACGGGGCUUCAGAAAAACAGUUUUUAUAAGAGUUACUGUGCAAUGGUUGAGUGGCUGGAGUUUUGAUAUCUUGGCUGUUGGCUACAAAAGAAGAUGGGGGUGUAAACUUUAAUGUGUCAGCAUAUGAUUUUGUCACCGGAGGAUGUAUCUUUGAUGCUUCUGAGUAUGAAACGCAAUUUUGGGCCAUAUACUUUUUUAUAUUUGUCUGCCUACUGGCUUCUGGACAAACCUUUCUAAUUGCAAUAUGGGGGCCGCCACAAAGACAACAAUAACUAUUAUCUUGGUCGCAAUCACAAGAUGUACCAGUAUGCCCUUGCCCACAUUUAUAGCACCUUGGUUUAGAUCUGCAUGUAUCUUUAGUGUGUCCAUACCGGCAACAAUUGUAGCAUUGAAUUGACGGAUAAAUGUAUAGUUCUACUUUGAGGGAAUUAAAACACAUAAAUACUCUUGUGGGAAGGACCUGACCAUCAAAAACAUGUCCACCGGUACACCUCUUACGAGCCCCAUCCUGGUAACAUUAAAAGAUGGAAUAAAAGCUUCAUAACCUUUUUCCAAUAAGGCAUGAUGUUUUUAAGAAAGAAUUUGCAGCUGAGUGACUUGUGAAUGCCAUUGAAAUUUUGUUGCGACCGAUACGCUUCAAACUGCCUUGUACUAUGUUUGGCACCUGGUUUUUAUACAAAAAUCUGCCAAAGCAUAUUGGAUGCAAAUUAAGAUCCUGUGUUACCUCUCCUGUACUAGACCUAGCAACAUGAAUAAUAAAUGGUGAAGCAUCCAA